RNAcentral lists this ribosomal RNA (253 nucleotides) under uncultured bacterium. Its description in RNAcentral is "partial 16S ribosomal RNA". It matches the Rfam family "Bacterial small subunit ribosomal RNA", at positions 524 to 776 of the family's 1533-position model. The record is from RNAcentral.
UACGGAGGGGACUAGCGUUGUUCGGAAUUACUGGGCGUAAAGCGCGCGUAGGCGGAUUUGCAAGUCGGGGGUGAAAGCCCGAGGCUCAACCUCGGAACUGCCUUCGAUACUGCGAAUCUCGAGUCCGAGAGAGGUGAGUGGAAUUCCUAGUGUAGAGGUGAAAUUCGUAGAUAUUAGGAAGAACACCAGUGGCGAAGGCGGCUCACUGGCUCGGUACUGACGCUGAGGCGCGAAAGCGUGGGGAGCAAACAGG